Molecule: ribosomal RNA, 564 nt
Filed under: Triticum aestivum (bread wheat)
Lineage: Eukaryota; Viridiplantae; Streptophyta; Magnoliopsida; Poales; Poaceae
Description: partial small subunit ribosomal RNA
Source: RNAcentral
AUGUACAGCCACGUCGGCGUCACCGGGCGGAUGGCCAAGCACCCCGUCGGGUCCCUCGACCUCGCCGACUUCGAUCGCACCAUGGCCACCAACGCCCGGUCCGCGGUCGCCGGGAUCAAGCACGCGGCGCGCGUGAUGGUGCCGCGCCGGAGCGGGUGCAUCAUCUGCACGGCGAGCACCGCGGGGGUGCUGGGCGGCCUCAUCGCGCCCACGUACAGCAUCUCCAAGGCCGCCGUCAUCGCCGCCGUGCGCUCGUUUGCCGGGGAGCUGGGGCGCCACGGGGUGCGCGUCAACGCCAUCUCGCCGCAUGGCAUAGCGACGCAGUUCGGGCUGCGCGGGCUGGCAGAGCUGUUCCCGGAGGCGAGCCAGGAAGAGCUGAGGCGGGUGGUGGAGACCGGCAUGAACGAGAUGGGCGGCGGGACGGUGCUGGAGGUGGAGGACAUCGCCAGGGCCGCCCUGUACCUGGCGUCCGACGAGGCCAGGUAUGUCAACGGGCACAACCUCGUCGUCGACGGCGGGUGCACGGUGGGGAAGGGGCUCAUCAACCCGGCACCGGCGCAAUAA